GACGAACGCUGGCGGCGUGCUUAACACAUGCAAGUCGAACGGAAAGGCCCUGCUUUUGUGGGGUGCUCGAGUGGCGAACGGGUGAGUAACACGGGAGUAACCUGCCCUUGACUUUGGGAUAACUUCAGGAAACUGGGGCUAAUACCGGAUAGGAGCUCCUGCUGCAUGGUGGGGGUUGGAAAGUUUCGGCGGUUCGGGAUGGACUCGCGGCUUAUCAGCUUGUUGGUGGGGUAGUGGCUUACCACGGCUUUGACGGGUAGCCGGCCUGAGAGGGUGACCGGCCACAUUGGGACUGCGAUACGGCCCAGACUCCUACGGGAGGCAGCAGUGGGGAAUAUUGCACAAUGGGCGGAAGCCUGAUGCAGCAACGCCGCGUGCGGGAUGACGGCCUUCGGGUUGUAAACCGCUUUCGCCUGUGACGAAGCGUGAGUGACGGUAAUGGGUAAAGAAGCACCGGCUAACUACGUG
This 468-nucleotide ribosomal RNA is filed under the name uncultured bacterium. RNAcentral's name for it is "partial 16S ribosomal RNA". It matches the Rfam family "Bacterial small subunit ribosomal RNA", at positions 28 to 507 of the family's 1533-position model. The record is from RNAcentral.